UGGGGAAUAUUGGACAAUGGGGGCAACCCUGAUCCAGCCAUGCCGCGUGGGUGAAGAAGGCCUUAGGGUUGUAAAACUCUUUCAGCGGGGAAGAUGAUGACGGUACCCGCAGAAGAAGCCCCGGCUAACUCCGUGCCAGCAGCCGCGGUAAUACGGAGGGGGCUAGCGUUGUUCGGAAUUACUGGGCGUAAAGGGCGUGUAGGCGGUUUGUCUAGUCAGGCGUGAAAGCCCCGGGCUCAACCUGGGAACUGCGUUUGAUACUGGCAGGCUAGAGGUUGGAAGAGGAGAGUGGAAUUCCCAGUGUAGAGGUGAAAUUCGUAGAUAUUGGGAAGAACACCAGUGGCGAAGGCGGCUCUCUGGUCCAUACCUGACGCUGAGGCGCGAAAGCGUGGGGAGCAAACAGGAUUAGAUACCCCCGUAGUCC
This 424-nucleotide ribosomal RNA is filed under the name uncultured prokaryote. RNAcentral's name for it is "bacterial SSU rRNA". It matches the Rfam family "Bacterial small subunit ribosomal RNA", at positions 355 to 796 of the family's 1533-position model. The record is from RNAcentral.